AUUGAACGCUGGCGGCGUGCCUAACACAUGCAAGUCGAGCGGUAACAGGUGUAGCAAUACAUGCUGACGAGCGGCGGACGGGUGAGUAACGCUUGGGAAUCUGCCUAUUAGUGGGGGACGAACCCGGGGAAACGUCGGGCGUAAUACCGCAUACGCUCUACGGAGGAAAGCCGGGACCGCAAGGCCUGCGCUAAUAGAUGAGCCCAAGUCGGAUUAGCUAGUUGGUAGGGUAAUGGCCUACCAAGGCGACGAUCCGUAACUGGUCUGAGAGGACGACCAGUCACACCGGAACUGAGACACGGU
Molecule: ribosomal RNA, 303 nt
Filed under: uncultured bacterium
Lineage: Bacteria
Description: bacterial SSU rRNA
Rfam family: Bacterial small subunit ribosomal RNA
Source: RNAcentral